GACGAACGCUGGCGGCGUGCUUAACACAUGCAAGUCGAACGGAAAGGCCCUGCUUUUGUGGGGUGCUCGAGUGGCGAACGGGUGAGUAACAAGUGAGUAACCUGCCCUUGACUUUGGGAUAACUUCAGGAAACUGGGGCUAAUACCGGAUAGGAGCUCCUGCUGCAUGGUGGGGGUUGGAAAGUUUCGGCGGUUGGGGAUGGACUCGGGGCUUAUCAGCUUGUUGGUGGGGUAGUGGCUUACCAAGGCUUUGACGGGUAGCCGGCCUGAGAGGGUGACAGGCCACAUUGGGCCUGGGAUACGGCCCAGACUCCUACGGGAGGCAGCAGUGGGAAAUAUUGCACAAUGGGCGGAAGCCUGAUGCAGCAACGCCGCGUGGUGGAUGACGGCCUUCGGGUUGUAAACCGCUUUCGCCUGUGACGAAGCGUGAGUGACGGUAAUGGGUAAAGAAGCACCGGCUAACUACGUG
This 468-nucleotide ribosomal RNA is filed under the name uncultured bacterium. RNAcentral's name for it is "partial 16S ribosomal RNA". It matches the Rfam family "Bacterial small subunit ribosomal RNA", at positions 28 to 507 of the family's 1533-position model. The record is from RNAcentral.